UCUUUGGUUUAUUUUUCACCCUUGCUUCCCUCUUACCCACAGACAUGCACAUUUACAUUUCUUUUUCUACUUUAAUAUAAUUUCCUUCUACAGGAACAUUUUUCCCAAACAAUUUCUUAAGUCCUCCAAAUGAAAGGCUUCUGGCACAGUACAGCAAAUUGGUCUUCAAUUUUCCCAGGACAUGAGUGAGACUGGUGUGGCCAUAGAGGGGAGUUGGUAAAGACCUCAAACUGCUGCAUGUGGGGUUUAAGACCCUGGGCCGUGUGUAAGGAGCAUCGUGGAUGCUGAGGAUCCAGCCAGAAGUGGCAGGAGCAUCUCUGGUUCCUUUCCUCAGUGAAUCUCCUCUGAACAUGUCUUGAGCUGCCUGCAAAAUAUGCUGUGACACCCAACACAGCGACACAGAAAGUCUCUGCCUGCCUCUACUGUCCCUGAUGCUGGAGGAGGACAAGCUGUUCUGGACAAUGACCAGGACCUAAGCUGCGUCCUUCCUAUUUGAUUGACACUUGAAACGUUGAGUUGGAAUCAGCCAGAGGCACUGCUACAAGCUUGAAGCCUCUGCUGGGGAUAACAACUGGUGACAUCUGCAGAAAGGCCGACAAAAGGCAGUUGAAAGCCGUGUUUGUUGCUUUCCCCUCUCAGAUCUCCUCUCUUUCAUGGAGCUCCUUACUUGCUUUAAUAUUAUGAUUCAGCACCUGGCUCUUUUGAACCUUGCUUUAAACUUCAAAAGGCGAGGUGGUAUUAACAAACAUGAAACGAAAAAGUGGCAGUAGUUUGAUUUACUGUUGUCGUCUUAUCAAGGGGGUUUUUUGUCACCAGCUGCCACUUUCUGUCAUCUUUGGAACCAUUAUCAUUUCUCUAAAAUCUAAAAGACUCCACUUAAUAACAGCUUUGAAUACAAGCAGGAUCAGUAACGUAUACAGUUCUGGGAUGACAGGGCCAUCAAAUGAAAAGAAAGAUGUUGCAAAAAAAAAAAAAUCCUUAAAAAAAAAAAAAACAAUAAAACAAA
This is a long non-coding RNA of Centrocercus urophasianus (Greater sage-grouse), 1006 nucleotides long. RefSeq lists it as uncharacterized. The transcript has 3 exons. The record is from RefSeq and is a predicted model, not a curated record. NCBI's taxonomy places the organism in Eukaryota, Metazoa, Chordata, Aves, Galliformes, Phasianidae.